AGCCUUCAUACGAUGCUGUGGAUCAGAGCUGUACCUGGGCACAUGUCACAGUACUUCCACACGGAAACAGAGGCUGGAUCGGUUCCUUGGUCAAGUUCAAUGAGUGGCCACGCAAACACUUGUCCAGACAAAAUGUGUGUGUCAAAGGAGAGGGAAUGAGAGGUGUCUCUCUUGAAAAUGACUGAAGAAUUAGAAGGUUUCAAAGCCCUUCUGAAAUUCUGGACUCAGAAGGACAGAGCCUACAAUGAAUGCAAGCAUAUAUGCACACCGGCACAAACGCACAGUGUGAUCCUUUGUUUCCACUGAAAUAAUACAGUGCAGAAAUGAUGAAUAUUUCCUUAUCUUGGCUCCUUUCCUGCAACGAGGGAAAAAUUGGCUGGUACAGAGGGGAACACCCAGGAAAACAUUUAGUGUAUAGCCUGGUUAUUCGUUCAUAGCUGUGCUACAUAUUUGUUGAGAUCAGAAAGAUUCCCUCCAAAGGUAGAAAAUAAAAGAAUAAUGUCAAAAUCAAAGUAAUAACAAGAGCAAAAAAGUGUUUUCUCCUCUCUUCGAUGAAAAGCCCAAACAAACAGAAGCCAACAUGCUGCAUGUGCCACCAGCAAAGCAGAGACUUGAACAGCAAGUCCUUUCUCUUUCCAUAUAUACGUUAUGAGCCAGUGUUAGGGUGAGGGAACAGCAACUUUAAAUUGAGUGGGAAGAGAGGAAAAAGAAUAUCAGUCUAAUAAAAGCCAUUGGGGUUAGAUAAAUUACAGAGAAAAGGGAGAGGCAAUUUCUGUCCAUUUUAACGCCCACAUGCAAUAGGGAACAAGUGAAAAUCAGACCUGGGGAUAAUUUGUGGUUGCUUUUUCAAAUCUGUAUCGAGGUCCAGAAAAAAAAAAAAAAGAUAUAGAAGAAAAUUAAUCAGUAACGAGAAAAUUCCCCCAGAAAUACCAUGACAGAAACAGAAAGUAAUGACUUGGAAAUUAAAAUCAUUUGAGGUAGAUAGGGCAAAUGCUGGCAAGUACUCUUGUUCUCUGUUGGCAUUUCAUGGAAGCAGGAGAUCCCAUUACAAGGAUGUUCCCAUGGCUACAAAUACAACCUCAGUCAGCACCAGCUCUACAUAUCAUUACACAGUUGCCAAAGAUUCACUUGGCAAGAAAGACUGGCAAGUUCACUGCACUGUUACCCGUGGGUCUGAGCUUCUUGGUCUGGUAUAUACAUUCUUCACAAUAAAGAUCACUUUGAGGGGCCACCUCCUCUAAGAGCUGUAGACCUUCCCAUAAAAGCAGACUCCAAGCAAUGUGAUGCUUUAGUCCAAAUUCUUGUUCAUAUGUUUUGGAUUGAUUCAGCCUCAGCAGAUCAAAGAGGCCAGCUACUGAGUCCACUACCAAAUACCUAAAUCUGGCUCUACCUAAGCACAGUGUGAACAUUUUACACGCAGUGCAUUCCCUCUAACUCUUGUACCUUCUCUGGUUAUUAGAUUAGGAAUACAGCUACUAUAAACCUUCUGCAAAAGAAUGGAGAGUGUCAGGACUUUAUGGAUGCAAGUUCAGAUCCAACUGGCAGUUGGAUCACCGUCACUGCAUCUCUGUUGUCUACACUGACAAUGGGGCAUUAACUUCGUUCCCAAAUGCAGGCGUUGCAUCGGUUGAGAGGCAGUAGUUUUAAGUCUACUUGCAUGCAGAAGCUGACCAGAGGGGCUGGAUCUCUUCGAAGUCUGUAUCACAAUCAUGAAAUUCAACUCUUUUAAGCCCUUCUCUAAAUGUGAAUCUUCCAACCUUAGUGGAAGUCUUUCUCUAUGUUGCAUGACAUGUCAGUAAGAAAGCUGGGGUCACUGAUAGAGCCUUCUGGUCUCUGUAAACAGUGUGUGGGCCUCUCUGUGCCUCAUCUGUUUCAGACAUGAGGUUUCUACAGCUCUCAAUACAUAUUCUGGCCUCCACAUUUUCAAGACCAAGCUUUAUUUCUGACUGGCUGAUUGUUAUGAAAGCCCUUGUCUUGCUAAGUAUAUUCUCCAUGCUCCUUGUUAGCUUUUUCAUUAGCUAAGUAAGGAGGACCUUUCUCAUCUAAGUCUAUCAUCCUGGCAUUUUUUCCUACUCUUAAAUUUUCGGUAUCCGCUGUGCUCUGUAGAACUGUGACAAUCAUGAGAAGGACCCUGUUUUAUCAGCCAUCAUAUUAGGACUUGCAGACCAUGAACAGGCUGCCAUGGGAAUCACAGUGAGAGGAGGUUCUGUAAUACAAGGGAGAGUUCUAAACUGUGUAUAUCAAACUAAAAAGCAGAAGCAUGUGGGAGAGACAUUAGGACAGCCUCACAACAGAUAAUGAUGUUGUUCAAAGUCUUUUCCAGUUGCCUGGACAAAUGAUGGUGCUUCAAUAAGGGUUUCCUACUCCCACAAGAUUGUAACAAACACUCUCAAUUUGAUUGUGCAGGAUCUCAAAUAAUUUAUGAAUAAUCCAGAUGCAGGGUGCAGUGUUUGCUCCAUGGACAAAACAGGAUAUGUGGGGGUUUAGGUAAAAAUUUGAAUGUUGCAAGGUUCAAGAAUGGGGUCAGUGCAGAGCGGGAGUGCAAGGAAUGAACUGUGAUCCUCCAGCUGAAUGAGGGCCAGCUCUCUUUUGAGACCUGGAAAUGAGGAAGGAAAGGAAGUGGGUCUUUUAGGUUAUACCCCUCCAAAAGAGGGCACUAGGAGCUCUUUAUAACCACUCCAAAGAAAAGCUCAAGAAAGCCAGGCCCUUUUCAACUGUUUAAAACUCUCCUGAGACCCAAAUAAAUAUAUCAAAGAAAUCCAGAACAGGUCAUUUACUUAAAAUGAUGUGUCUACCAUUUAAUUCCCAUUCAAUUUCAACACAGAGUUAGCCAAAAGCUGUCAGAGUCCUGGCUCGACACAGGAGCAAGACCUAGGAGAAGGCAGCAGUGUGAUUCCCUCCCUGUGCUGCUCCUGCCACUCUCAUGAAGCCUUGGCAUGGGAAGAUAGACCUAUUUCAUUUCAGGAAAAGAACAGAGAGGCUAUAAAUCCCGACACGGUAUAUUUAUUGAAAAAUGAAGGUAAUAACAUUAAUCCAGAUAAUGAGCUGUAUGUUUCCCUGCCUCAGAAAACCUCUUAGCCAGCGGAAAUAAAUCCACCUGAAAUUUAGCAGCAGAGUAACUCCUUUUCUUUCUUCUUCUUUUUUUUCUUCCUUCUCCUGCUCAUCACAAGUCUCCCUUCCUUAUAUACCACUGGAAUUUAAAAUACAGGCAAAAGUUGUGGGGUUCUGAAGAGGCUGAAUAUAGUGUGGCUAUGACAGUUCCUCUCCUUUCUGGAUGGAAUGGACCAAUAGUAAUCUCCUCUUAAAUGUAGGGCUGUAUGUCUAAAGAACAUACACAGGUUCUGUUACCAGUCAGUGGGCAUCUGAACAACUUGGAUGUGGGAUAAUUUUAUCUCAUAUCUAAGCCAGAUAUGUAAAUAAGGACAGGUAUGUUGCAUUAUAAGUGAACUGUUUUCUUUCUAGUACCAAUAAUCCAGCUUCAAGACCAGUUCAGCUAUUCUCUCCACUUUUAAUGUUAAAAUUAAGGUUAGAUUAGUCACAUUUUUUAAUUUUUGGGGGUCACAGAGUCAUAGAAUUGUAUGGGCUGGAAUGGACCUUAAAGACCAUCUACUUCCAACACCCCUGCCAUGGACUGGUUGCCAACCACUAGAUCAGGGUCACAGGAUCAUAGGAUGGAAAUGAAUUACCUCAAGAGGCAAAGCCGUUUUUCUGCUAUAAACCACUAAAUUGUAUAACGCUUCAUACAUAAAUAUGGAGAAGUGUUAAACUAGAUCCCUGAAGAGUUUAUUGUAAGGGAUGACAAUGUCCUACUUAAAACCAUCUUAAAUAGAGGCAUUUUUUCUCUUCUCAUGAUUGUAAUCUAUUGUCACAUUACCCAUCUCUUUUACGCCUCUCCGUCUAUCAAAGCAAUCUUCACGUUCUGUAGUAUUUCCAAGCUUUACUUUCUGCUUCCUCUUGCAUGAAAUUUUGGUAAGCAGAAGUAUUACAGAAAAUCAUAACUGUGAUAUAAAAGAGUUUAUUUUUCUCCCAAUAUGGAAAAUUUUUCUCCAACUGAACCCUUAGAUCUUCUGAAAACAUCCUAUAGGAGGUACCAUAAAGUGAAACCAGUGUUGCUGAAACGGGUGCCUUAGAGAGGACCCUAAUUAUUUAUCUGCUAAAAAUAACCUAGUCUGUUUUCCAAGUGUGUUGAAAGAUGCUGAGUAAAGGCAAAGUGCUCAUCAUUUUAGAUAAGCAGGCAGCUUAUACAAUUUUGGCAACUUUAUGACCAUGAACUGCCAAGAUGAGCAUGUCAUUUGGUCAUCCCCAUAGCAUUAGCAGCAGUUUUUCAUAGAAGAGAAGAAGAUCGGUUUUAGCUAAGAAAAUUUUUUCUGUGUUCUUAAAUUUCAAGGCAGGAUUUCAUUGACAAAGUCUGUUCCAAGUCUAUAAUUUGUUCUUUGCAUUAUACCAACCUUUUAGGAACCUAAAAUACAAUUUUGUAUCCAUAAGGCAUGAGAGUUCUGCAUGUUCUGACACACAUUUUUCCUUGUUCAUCUUUCAUUUGCAGGUACUUAUUAGUGAUUUUAAAAUGAACUGUUCAUGCUCAGCUAUUGAAAUUCUUGAGUCUGACUUCUCAUGAUCAAUAAAUUUGCCAAACUGCAAACGUUUCUCCUUGAGAUGUAAAUUUUACAUGUGUAAAUUUUAAAUUUCCGGUCUUCAUGGCUCAAAAUGAUGUCAUUGUGACCUUGCCAUUAUUCUAAUUGACUAAAUUAGAGCCUGAAGUUCCUGUGAGAUUUUGAACUUUUGUUUGUUCCUCAUAAUGAUCAUUUUUUCCUCUAUUUUUAAAUUAAAAAAAAAAAAGAAAAUAAUUCACACUUCAAAAAUAAUCUGACUUUAAAAAAUUCCGGACACAAUGCAGAGUGCACACUCACAAAGAUUUUUGGUUUCAAGCACUUCAUUUGUCACUGUUUUUUACCAGGUUAUUCUCUGACUACUCUUAUUUAUUUAAUUUGGUUAUCAAAGAAUUAAUUUAUCUAUGAAUGAACAUACUUCCAGAGGAGAGGUUGCCUGAUCUCUCAGGGCAUGACCAGAUAGAACCCCAAGUGCCAUAGUGAAGACUUGUUCCCAUACCUGCCAAUCUCAGCUGUAGUGCCUGAAGCACCAGGUCAUAUCAUAGAAUCAUAGAACCAACAAGGUUGGAAAAGACCUCCGAACUCAUCCAACCAUCCACCUACCGCCAAUAUUUCCCCACUAAACCAUGUCCCUUAGUACCACAUCUAAACAGU
Long non-coding RNA from Numida meleagris (helmeted guineafowl), 5261 nucleotides. RefSeq lists it as uncharacterized. The record is from RefSeq and is a predicted model, not a curated record. The transcript is spliced from 3 exons. NCBI's taxonomy places the organism in Eukaryota, Metazoa, Chordata, Aves, Galliformes, Numididae.